Molecule: ribosomal RNA, 425 nt
Filed under: uncultured bacterium
Lineage: Bacteria
Description: partial 16S ribosomal RNA
Rfam family: Bacterial small subunit ribosomal RNA
Source: RNAcentral
GUUAGGAAUAUUGGACAAUGGGCGCAAGCCUGAUCCAGCCAUGCCGCGUGAGUGAUGAAGGCCUUCGGGUUGUAAAGCUCUUUAGUCCACGAAUAUAAUGACUGUAGUGGAAGAAUAAGCCCCGGCUAACUUCGUGCCAGCAGCCGCGGUAAUACGAAGGGGGCGAGCGUUAUUCGGAAUCACUGGGCGUAAAGCGUGCGUAGGCUGUUUUGUAGGUCAGAAGUGAAAGCCCAGGGCUUAACCCUGGAAUUGCUUUUGAAACUACAAGACUCGAAUUCGGGAGAGGAUAGCGGAAUUGUCAGUGUAGCAGUGAAAUGCGUAGAUAUUGACAGGAACACCAGUGGCGCAAGCGGCUAUCUGGACCGAUAUUGACGCUGAGGCACGAAAGCGUGGGGAGCGAACAGGAUUAGAUACCCGAGUAGUCC